This is a long non-coding RNA of Alosa sapidissima (American shad), 1330 nucleotides long. RefSeq lists it as uncharacterized. The record is from RefSeq and is a predicted model, not a curated record. NCBI's taxonomy places the organism in Eukaryota, Metazoa, Chordata, Actinopteri, Clupeiformes, Clupeidae. The transcript has 6 exons.
GCCCCAUCAGCCAGGUAACAUACAGAUCAAGCAAAAUCUUACAGUUUGCCCUCUAAGCCCACAUGUAAUAAUUUUGUUGAGCAGGAAAAUGUCUCAUUCAGCACCAAACAAGUAUUUUUGCCGUCUGGUCACCUGAUAAACUAGUUAGAUGAAGCUAGAUAAAGUUUUACGCUGUAGCCCAAAUCAAUGACAAACCAAUUGUACAGCUGAUACAAUUGUACAUCUCAUAACAGCUUCGGUGUGUCGUCAUCGUCUUGCUGUCCCCCAUCCGUUCUGUGAUUGGUUCCUUCGUUGAGGUGACAAUUGGGUCCAUGGAAUCCAGGCUGCCUAGCAGCGUGAAUAAAAUCUAGGCUAGGCAAAUCCGGCUAGGCAAGGCCAUUGAGUAAAAUUUGAUGGUUUUACCUUUCAGAUUGAUACCAUAACAUCAGUGUUGGGAAAGCUACUUGGAAAUUGUAGUGAAUGUCCAGACACAAUGCUUUGCGUUACAGCUAGAGGGAUGAAACUUUGCACACUCCAUGUGGGUCAUGUGCAGAAGGUCUGACUUGAAUUUCAGCCUCGUAGCUCCAUGCUACCACCCAAAACUCCACCUCUGAAGUGGGAGUGGUCAACUUUUUUUUAUGUUUUUCCUUCACAGUUUUUUUUGUGGGUGUCUCAGAGAUCCCACCUUUGGAACAGUUGUCAGGGGCCUCAAGGCUGUGUCGUGCCUCUUGGUCCCAUCCUUCUAGCACCUAGCGUUACCGCGCCAGAAGAGAAGUUCAAGAGGGAUCUCUCGUAUGCAGUGCUGCUCCUUUGCCUCGUCAAGAUGAAGAAUCGGUGCAGUGGUGAGGCUGGAGCACCCCUGGCUUUUGCCGUAUGGGUUGAAUUCAGCAGUGAGUCACCCACCUUCAAUUUCACAGAUGCUUUGGGGGUGAGAGGCCAUACGUUGACCCUGAUAUCAGUGGCACACAUCGCCGGCUGGCAAUUGGUCGUCUGAUAAAAGAACAUGCACUGAGUCAGGGUUUGUCUCGGCCUGAAUAUCUGCCACAACACAGGCCGCCUUGGUGGCCCUUUGCCUCAGUCAGUGACGGUACGUUAAUAUUGAAUAACCAGCUAUUACUGUUUCAACUGCAUGCACACAGCUGUUGCAACAUGAUUUGACUUUAACUUUGUUCCUCACUAUGGUCAUUUUGAUACACUUUGAUGCAUUAAAGGAAAAGGUGAAGGGCGUAACGCUUUCACUGCUGAAAAGCUGAGGCAGGUGGUACGCUCAUACAAUGCGUAUUGCAAUCUCCAGCAGUCUGUUGAGGCACCACCAUCACCCCCAUCACCAGCAACACCAGCAGCAGCAGAA